UACAGAGGUCUCAAACGUUAUUCGGAUUCAUUGGGCUUAAAGGGUACGUAGGCGGCGCUAUCAGUCGGGUGUGAAAUCCCUCGGCUCAACCGAGGAACUGCGCCCGAUACUGUAGUGCUUGAGGGAGACAGAGGUAAGCGGAACUGAUGGUGGAGCGGUGAAAUGCGUUGAUAUCAUCAGGAACACCGGUGGCGAAAGCGGCUUACUGGGUCUCUUCUGACGCUGAGGUACGAAAGCUAGGGGAGCGAACGGG
This 253-nucleotide ribosomal RNA is filed under the name uncultured bacterium. Its description in RNAcentral is "partial 16S ribosomal RNA". It matches the Rfam family "Bacterial small subunit ribosomal RNA", at positions 524 to 776 of the family's 1533-position model. The record is from RNAcentral.